RNAcentral lists this transfer RNA (74 nucleotides) under Pelecanus crispus (Dalmatian pelican). It matches the Rfam family "tRNA". From Rfam's summary of the family: Transfer RNA (tRNA) molecules are approximately 80 nucleotides in length. Their secondary structure includes four short double-helical elements and three loops (D, anti-codon, and T loops). Further hydrogen bonds mediate the characteristic L-shaped molecular structure. tRNAs have two regions of fundamental functional importance: the anti-codon, which is responsible for specific mRNA codon recognition, and the 3' end, to which the tRNAs corresponding amino acid is attached (by aminoacyl-tRNA synthetases). tRNAs cope with the degeneracy of the genetic code in two manners: having more than one tRNA (with a specific anti-codon) for a particular amino acid; and 'wobble' base-pairing, i.e. permitting non-standard base-pairing at the 3rd anti-codon position. The record is from Rfam by way of RNAcentral. Lineage: Eukaryota; Metazoa; Chordata; Aves; Pelecaniformes; Pelecanidae.
GCCGGGUUAGCUCAGUUGGUUAGAGUAUGGUGCUAAUAACACCAAGUUCACAGGUUCAAUCCCUGCUCACUGCA